AGUUACAAAUUACUUAGUAGAUUGCUUCCAUUAUCGGGAAGACAUUUACACAGAAGCAUAGAAGCUUAGUUAACAUUCACACUUUCGGUGAAUGUACAGUGUGGGGAUUUUUCAUUGGGUUUACUGUUUUGUUUCGGUUUUGGUGUAUUAAAUGUUCAGACAUAAUUAUUUUGACUUUUCGUUUAUUUUAUAAAUGGGGAAUACGAACUGCCUCAUUCCCAUUAAGCACAAUUUUAAACUUACUGGUGU
Molecule: long non-coding RNA, 249 nt
Organism: Haliotis rubra (blacklip abalone)
Lineage: Eukaryota; Metazoa; Mollusca; Gastropoda; Lepetellida; Haliotidae
Exons: 4
Source: RefSeq, a predicted model, not a curated record